UCUAGAAGCUUCGGCAAUGGGCGAAAGCCUGACCGAGCGACGCCGCGUGCAGGACGAAGGUCUUCGGAUUGUAAACUGCUUUCGACGGGGAUGAAAGGUAAGAGGGCGAAUACCCCCCUUAUUUGACAGUACCCGCAGAAGAAGCCCUGGCUAACUCCGUGCCAGCAGCCGCGGUAAUACGGAGAGGGCAAGCGUUGUUCGGAUUUAUUGGGCGUAAAGCGCGCGUAGGUGGCAUGGUAAGUCGGAUGUUAAAGACCCACGGCUCACCCGGGGGAAUGCGUCCGAUACUGCCGUGCUAGAGUGCGGGAGAGGAAAGUGGAAUUCCUGGUGUAGCGGUGAAAUGCGUAGAUAUCAGGAGGAACACCGGUGGCGAAGGCGGCUUUCUGGCCCGUAACUGACACUGAGGCGCGAAAGCGUGGGGAGCGAACG
This 429-nucleotide ribosomal RNA is filed under the name uncultured bacterium. Its description in RNAcentral is "bacterial SSU rRNA". It matches the Rfam family "Bacterial small subunit ribosomal RNA", at positions 355 to 774 of the family's 1533-position model. The record is from RNAcentral.